CCACCAUCCAGAGCGGCCGAGAGAUCUGGCUCGAUGACGCCGCAGCAACCCGCGGUCCCCCGGGACCGGAGCAGGGUGCUACCGCCAGGACCGAUGGAGG
This 100-nucleotide non-coding RNA is filed under the name Cellulomonas gilvus. Its description in RNAcentral is "SAM-I sequence". It matches the Rfam family "SAM riboswitch aptamer (S box leader)". From Rfam's summary of the family: The SAM riboswitch is found upstream of a number of genes which code for proteins involved in methionine or cysteine biosynthesis in Gram-positive bacteria. The SAM riboswitch acts at the level of transcription termination control. The predicted structure consists of a complex stem-loop region followed by a single stem loop terminator region. RNAcentral also lists the same sequence under 1 other name. Lineage: Bacteria; Bacillati; Actinomycetota; Actinomycetes; Micrococcales; Cellulomonadaceae. The record is from RNAcentral.